This 2186-nucleotide long non-coding RNA is filed under the name Nicotiana tabacum (common tobacco). Its description in RNAcentral is "long non-coding RNA (NTAB_LNC000114)". Lineage: Eukaryota; Viridiplantae; Streptophyta; Magnoliopsida; Solanales; Solanaceae. The record is from RNAcentral.
GUGUUGCAUAUAUUGCGUUACAAACAUGGAAAGCAGCUAUGUUUUCUGACCCUUUUAACUUCACUGCAAAUUGGACAGGACCAAAUGUUUGUUCCUAUGGUGGGGUGUUUUGUGCUCAAUCUUUAACCAAUGAUUCUAUUAGAGUUGUAGCUGGCAUUGAUCUUAACCAUGCUGAUAUUGCUGGUUAUUUAGUUCCAGAACUUGGUCUUCUCACAGAUCUAGUUCUUUUCCACCUCAACUCGAAUCGUUUUUGUGGUAUCGUACCUAAAACCUUUAGCCAUUUGAAGCUUCUUAGGGAGCUUGAUUUGAGCAACAAUAGGUUUGUUGGUGGGUUCCCUAAAGUGGUUCUUUCUUUGCCUUCUUUAAAGUUCUUGGAUCUAAGGUUUAAUGACUUUGAAGGGCCAGUUCCUUCUAAACUUUUCGACAAAGAUUUGGAUGCUUUGUUCCUUAAUGAUAAUAGAUUUCGUUUUGGCAUUCCUGACAACUUGGGCAACUCCCCUGUUUCUGUUCUUGUAUUUGCUAAUAACAAUCUUGGAGGAUGCAUUCCAGCAAGCAUCGGGAAAAUGGGCAACACUCUGAACGAGCUUAUACUAAUGAAUGAUAAUCUAACUGGUUGUUUGCCAAUGGAGAUUGGAAUGCUGAAGAAGUUAACAGUCUUUGACGUGAGCUUUAACAAGAUUCAAGGCCCGUUGCCAUCAACUGUGAGCAGAAUGAGGAGUGUUGAGCAACUCAAUGUGGCUCACAACAAGCUCACUGGUGUUAUACCAGCUAGUAUUUGCCAACUCCCCAGGUUACAAAACUUUACUUAUUCUUUCAAUUAUUUCACUGGGGAAGCUCCGGUUUGUGCUGCAGCUAGAUCUGGUAGAGUCAUUGACGGUGAAGAAAAUUGCAUUGCUGGAAAGGAAGACCAAAGAUCUGCUAAAGAAUGCUCUUCUGAUGAUGCAAAACCAUAUGAUUGUAGAAAAUCUCAGUGCUUUAGCCGUUCAGCUAUAUCUCCUGUAGUAAAACCAAGACCAAAACCAACCCCUAAGCCAAAAAGACCACCAGUUCAGAACAAACCACCAGCACCUAAGCCAUCUCCUCCUACAAAACCUAUUGUACCAAUUGAAUCUCCACCACCACCUUCUUCCAAAUCUUCGGGGUCCCAUUUUAAGCGCUCUCCGCCGCCACCUCAAUCAACUCCUCCGCCAUCACCACCACCACCACCACCUGUUUAUAGCAGUUCCCCGUCGCAUCAACAUAGAAGUCCACCACCUCCUACCCACAAAAUUUCACCUGUAACUCGUCACGCUCCACCUCCUCCACCUCCACCAAGUCCGGUAUAUUAUCACCACCCAUCACCACCACCUCCACAACCAGUAUAUUACGCGCCACCAACAUAUAAACCUCAAUCACCACCACCACCUCCACCACCAGUACAUUACGAGCCACCAACGUACACACCUCAAUCACCACCACCACCUCCACCAGUACAUUACGAGCCACCACCAUACACACCUCAAUCACCACCACCUCCACCAGUACAUUACGAACCACCAACGUACACACCUCAAUCGCCACCACCACCAGUAUAUGUGACACCGUCUUCACCACCACCACCAGUAUAUGAGCAUCCAAAACCUCCAACUCCAACUCCAUCACCACCAGCUGGGUACACACCUCCCCAGGAGCCAUCACAUCCUGCCCCACCUACCCCACCUUGUAACGAGACACCACCCCCACCACCUAGUACCCCACAUUGGCAACCAAAACCAUCUCCUCCCCCUACAUAUAACCCAUCACCAUCAUAUACCCAAAGCCCCCCGCCGCCACCUCCUACUUACACCUACUCUUCACCGCCGCCACCAUCAUCAUCACCUCCCCCUCCCACUUACUACUACUCAUCACCGCCUCCGCCGCCACCAUCACCUCCACCGCCAUCACCAUCACCACCACCCCCAAGUUACGAACACGUUCCACUUCCACCCAUUGUAGGAGUCUCCUAUGCAUCUCCACCACCACCAGUCAUUCCAUAUUAUUGAGCCCGGGGUUAAUUAACCAUUAGCCUCAGUUCAUUAUCUUUAAUUUUCCAUUAACAGAUGGAGAUUUGGAGGAGAAGAAUGGAAUUCUUUUUUCUUUUUCUUUUUUUGAUUGGGAAUUAUGUAUACUUUGUUAUUUAUUUUGUUUUUUUAAUUAUCUUGAGUUGA